Molecule: long non-coding RNA, 1629 nt
Organism: Bubalus bubalis (water buffalo)
Lineage: Eukaryota; Metazoa; Chordata; Mammalia; Artiodactyla; Bovidae
Exons: 5
Source: RefSeq, a predicted model, not a curated record
AAAGAAAAAAAAAAAAAAAAAAAAGGAUACAAAUGAACUUAGUCAUAAAACAGAAGAGAGUCACAGAUGUAGAAAACAAACAUGGUUACCAGCGAAUAAAAGGGGGAGGGGUAAAUUGGGACUAAUAUAUAGACACUGCUAUUUAUGAAAUAGAUAAUUAAUAAGAACCUAUUACAUUCUGCUCACUACUCUGUAAUGGCCUAUAUGGGAAAAGAAUCUUAAAAAGUUGUGGAAGUGGAAACUAACACAACAUUAUAAAUCAACUGUACAACAGUAAAAAUUAAAACAACAACAACAAAAUGACUCCAGAGUCCACCUGUCAGUUUGAAAAGGAUUGACAGUUGUAUCUGAGCAUUAUGUGCUCAGAUAUUGAUUUGACACCAAAGGCACAGACAAUACUACCCAACCCUUGGUAGCUUGGUGGCAAGACAUCCAGGUACCUGGAGUCUCAGCUUUCUGUUGCCAGCCUGUGUGUUACCCAAGAGUUAGAGCCACGUCUUACCUGCCUUCCUCUGCAGAGCACCCUGGCAGCAAAAAGGGAAAGCUGGCAUCUGUAGUAGCCCUUCUCUUUAGGUGACACAAAAAUGACCUCUUGUUAUCUUUUACUGACUCCACAGCUGCUAUAGCAUUCGGUUAGCCAUGGUUACGAAUUGGGUUUUGUGUAUGGCAGACGCUUGACCUCACUUACGGCCGACGCUUGACCUCACUUAAACCCCACACCAAAGCUCCGAUGGGGUAUUUAAGAAUGAGAGCAAGUUUCUUCAGUGUUGUCGGCCCCUAUCUCUCCCAUGGCCUGCCCUCACCUCACCUCUCACCCCUCCAAAUCAAGGCAUGUCUGAGCUCGGUCUGCCCAGGACUGUUGAUGAGCUUUCGCUUCUGCUUUGUUUCUGAACUAAAACUUGUUCUUCAGAACGGCUCGCACGGCCCCCUGGGAUUAUGACAACUCUCAGCCGAGCUCUGCCAGCAAUUAAUAGAAAUACUAUGAGUCAGCUGGGUAUCCAGACUCCCUUAAUCCAAUGGUGUUGCCCUCUGAUACCACAGCUUCCCAAAUCACCACGGAAGGGAAAAGAGAGAUGGCUGAGGCAUAGUGGCUGUCGUGUACCUUCACCAGACAUGAUGGUUGCAUCAGCUCAUAUUCCCAUGUGCUGGAAUACAGCCAUGUGGUUCCAAUCUAGUGACUGGAGACUUGUGGUCCUUCCCCAUGACUGGUGUGACAAACAGCAUCACGUAUUGUAUCUGCUAUGGUGUGCAAAGAGUAAAAUAAAUGAGAGAUUAAUUUGAAAAGAUUCUACUGAGAGUUCAUAGAGAUGGUUGGGAGCAGAAGAAAGACUAGAAUCCAAGAUGCUCUUCAGAAGAGUAUUAGAAUCACAGAAGGAAAGAGAUCAUGUAAGAAUAGUUUGGAAACCAUGAUUAAAAAUGUCCGACGUUUCUAAUGUCAGAGUCAUUAUGUCUAACGUCGGAAAGAAGUCACAGACAUAAAAUUCCAAGCUGACACAGAAGUUGAGUAGAAACACUGGCUUUGUAUAAAGAGACUAGGUAUGGCUAAUGAGAGUGGGAAAAGCAUAUCAGGUGGUCUUCAAAGCAGACUAAGUUAUAUAGCAGAUCACUGCUGAUAUGAUCAGGGGAGGA